GCUGGGCAUGGUGGCACAUGCCUGUAAUCCCAGCUACUCAGGAGGCUGAGGCUGGAGAAUUGCUUGAAUCCAGGAGGCGGAGGUUGCAAUGGGCCGAGAUCAUGCCACUGCACUCCAGCCUGGGUGAUAAAGCAAGACUCAGUCUCAA
This 148-nucleotide non-coding RNA is filed under the name Pan troglodytes (chimpanzee). Lineage: Eukaryota; Metazoa; Chordata; Mammalia; Primates; Hominidae. The record is from Rfam by way of RNAcentral.